This 660-nucleotide ribosomal RNA is filed under the name Triticum aestivum (bread wheat). RNAcentral's name for it is "partial small subunit ribosomal RNA". Lineage: Eukaryota; Viridiplantae; Streptophyta; Magnoliopsida; Poales; Poaceae. The record is from RNAcentral.
AUGAUGAUGAUGGGUUACAAAUUUGUGAUCCAUGAAAAUAUUUGCUGGAAAGAACUUUUAAGUCGAACAAAACAUCAUGUUUGCAUUGUCCAUAAGAUAGCAAAGCUGAAAACAAAAAUACUCUAUAUCAUGAAACAUUUGCAUUAUGAUUUGGUAUUGCCCUGUUUUGUUUUGUGUUAUGACCAAGUAGAGUCGAGGACAACUCCUUUUCAAGAAAGGGGGGAUGAUGAGGACAUCUCGGUCAUUGAAACAAGACCAAUCAUCCCUGGAAAAACUCCAAGUUGUGACAAACAAGUACAUGAUCAGAUGCAACACAAUUCAAAGGUGAAAGCUACAAAUGAGAAUUGCAUCAUUUCUUUGCAUGGAUAUUAUCUACUUCCCUUCUAUUUAUCCUUUGCAGAUCAAAGAGAGUCGAGGAUGACUCUUCAUCAAGGGAGGGAGGAUGAUGAGCACAUGGGUACAUCAUACAUGACAUUUCAGAAAAGUGCACAAUUUAGUUGGAAAGAAUUACUAAGCCGAAUCAAGCAAACACAUGGCCAUGUGAAUGCUAACUUAAGUUCAUACCACAAUCUUGAAGACAUGGCUGCACUUUCAUCCCGAUUAUUGUUGGUUGAACUUAGGUAUCACAUGAAACAAAUCCAACAACCUAUGAGCUCUUGA